RNAcentral lists this ribosomal RNA (430 nucleotides) under Verrucomicrobiota bacterium. RNAcentral describes it as "Verrucomicrobia bacterium partial 16S ribosomal RNA". It matches the Rfam family "Bacterial small subunit ribosomal RNA", at positions 355 to 776 of the family's 1533-position model. The record is from RNAcentral. Lineage: Bacteria; Pseudomonadati; Verrucomicrobiota.
UAGGGAAUCUUCGGCAAUGGGGGGAACCCUGACCGAGCAACGCCGCGUGAGUGAAGAAGGUUUGCGGAGCGUAAAGCUCGGUUGUGAAGGAAGAACGAGGGUGAGAAUGGAAAGUUCAUGCUGUGACGGUACCUAACCAGAAAGCCACGGCUAACUACGUGCCAGCAGCCGCGGUAAUACGUAGGUGGCAAGCGUUGUCCGGAAUUAUUGGGCGUAAAGCGCGCGGAGGUGGUUUAGAAAGUCUGAUGUGAAAGCCCACGGCUCAAACGUGGAGGGUCAUUGGAAACUAAUAAACUUGAGUGCAGGAGAGAAAAGUGGAAUUCCUAGUGUAGCGGUGAAAUGCGUAGAGAUUAGGAGGGACACCGAUGGGGACAGCGGCGUUUUGGCCUGCAACUGACACUGAGGCGCGAAAGCGUGGGGAGCAAACAGG